This is a long non-coding RNA of Tympanuchus pallidicinctus (lesser prairie-chicken), 1744 nucleotides long. RefSeq lists it as uncharacterized. NCBI's taxonomy places the organism in Eukaryota, Metazoa, Chordata, Aves, Galliformes, Phasianidae. The record is from RefSeq and is a predicted model, not a curated record. The transcript is spliced from 2 exons.
CCCAUCCAACCUGGCCUUGAACGCCUCCAGGAAUGGGGCAUCCACAGCCUCUCUGGGCAGCCUGUGCCAGCACCUCAUUACUCUCAUAGGAAAGAACUUCCCCCUGACAUCCAACCUAAACCUUCCCUCCCUCAACUUAAAACCAUUUCCCCCUGUCCUGCAGUUACCAGCCCUUUCAAAGAGUUGAUUCCCCUCCUGUUUGUAGGCUCCCUUUAGGUACUGAGAAGCUGCAGUGAGGUCACCCUGCAGCCUUCUUUUCUCCAGGCUGAACAAGCCCAGCUCCCUCAGCCAGUCUUUGCUGUGGAAGUGCUCCCAGCCCUCUGAUCAUCUUUGUGGCCUCCUCUGGACCCUCUCCAACAGCUCUCUGUAUUUCUUGUAUGGAGAACCUAGACCUGGACACAGUGCUCCAAACAGGGCCUCCCAAGAGCAGAGUAGAGGGGCACAAUCACCUCCCUGUCCCUGCUGGCCACCCCUCUUCUGAUGGAGCCCAGGAUACCAUUUGCCUUCCGAGCUGCAAGAGCACACUGCUGGCUCAUGUUAAGCUUUUCAUCUAUCAAGACCCCCAGGUCCUUCUCCACAGAGCUGCUUUCAAGGACCGCUCCUUCCAGUCUGUAUGGAUGCCUGGGAUUCUUCCAGCCCAAGUGCAAAACUCUGCACUUUGCUGAGUUGAAUCUCAUUUGAUUCACCUGGACCCACCUUUUGAGUCUGGAGAUCAAGCUUCAAGGACUAGUUGUUUUCUUCUGAAAAUACAGAACAAGGUCUUUAGCCCCUUUAGACUUAGGUUGAACAAGUUAUACGUCCUGGAGCCAUCCUGCAGGAGACUACACCUUUCUUUUGCUUUUGUCUUUCCUACGUGUUUUUUUCUUUCCAAGUACCUGCUGGCACUUCAAAGCAGGAUGCACUAUAUAUAAAAUAAGAAUAUACUUGCUAUUGUAUAACAUGUUUAAAUUUUGGGAGGAUUUUUGAGGAGGGGGAUAACACAAGUGGUCAGUGAUCAAACUUCACAUAUAUUGAAAGAUUUUGAAGGCAUUUUAAUAAUUAUACUAAGAGUUCUGAGGGCGAAGCAAGCCAAAUGAGUUGUAAGAAACUGGUAGUGAAAUCAUUUUGGAUCAUUUAGAUCCGAAAUGAUCAAAACCACUUUUUGAUGUAUUUUAUACUAAUGAGAAAAGCAGUGGUUUUCAGGAUUUAAUCAAGUAAGUGGGAACUCUUAGAAGUAAUUGUUUCUUUUCUGUUUUAGCAAGUUUUCCGUCCUGUUGUAAAGAUAGAUAUAAUAUAGCAAAGAGAUACUACAGUAUUCUUCCAGGAGAAAAAAAGCUGAAUUGCUUUUUUUGAAUUUGCCACAUGUAUAUGUGUGAAUGCACACAGGUAUGUUUCAGUGGGUGUGCAUGUGUGCGUUCCCGGUGUGUAGACAAGCACAGAUACAUGUCCUGAGCUUUCCCAUUGAAUAUGUAUUUUUCUUGUGCUAUUUUAAGGGGAUAUUUCUAACAAACAAGUGCUUGAUUCCUUUUCCUCCUACAUGAAAUCAGUGUUGUUUGAUUCCUUUUUUAGUGAUGUCAGAUGUGUCUUAGACUCUUUUUGUUCUGUUUGUUAUUAAAUAAGUUGCAGCUGUAAGAGAGACCGACUGGAAGAGAGACCAACACUAACUGUUGUAGUCAUUAAAAGAACACCAGAUUAUUUUUCACAUCAGUCCUAAGUAGAUGAAGCUGUAAAAUCCAAAUAUCAUGAAUAAAUGAAAUGUAAUCUU